This 339-nucleotide long non-coding RNA is filed under the name Nicotiana tabacum (common tobacco). RNAcentral's name for it is "long non-coding RNA (NTAB_LNC012970)". The record is from RNAcentral. Lineage: Eukaryota; Viridiplantae; Streptophyta; Magnoliopsida; Solanales; Solanaceae.
GCCCUAACCUCUUUCCGAUCCCCUUUGAGCGUACCCAGCCAGAACCUCCAUUGUCCUGCCACUAUCCGCCAUCGACCUCCGUCGCACCUGCCAAUAUCCCGCCGUCAACCUUCGUCAACACCAGCAGAACCUCAAUUUUCUUUUUCCUCCACCUAUCAAAUUUAUCUCCUCCACCAGAAACAGCAACCAUUCAAUUAAUCAAAGCUCCAUGGUUUCAAAUAGUCCCAAAAUUCUAGGGUUUUUUUCUCGAUUAAGCUCGACUACAACUUCUUAUUCUCACUGAGCCUUAACUGUAGGUUUUCGCUCGACUCUCGCAAAGCUCUUCUUUUAUUCCUUUUG